UGACCGAUACUGGGCCAGGUGCAGUCGUGGGACAGCCGCCGCCUCCCGGCCUUAACCCCUUCGCCGCCGCAGGUCACGCCCCCCACCCUCCACCUUCGCUGAAAUCCCAGAGCGCUGGCGCUGGUACCGGGGGCGGUGCCGGGAGGAGCUCGGGAUCGGGGCGUGGAGCUGGGUGACCACACGCCAGAGAAGUCGAGACGACUCCUCCCACGUGACAGCGAGGCUGGCGCCGGAUGCAGUGGCGACCGGACCUCCGCGGCGAGGGGGAGGGGGCGGUUCCGGAGACUUCCGGCUUGAGGCUGGGCCGCAACAGCCCCCUCCCCCAACCUCCACACCCGCGCGACCCCCAGCCUGUCCCUAAGAGCCCCAGGGAUGACCACUCCCCAACGCUAGGAGCCCGACCUCCUCCCUCCCGGUCCCCACCCACCACUUUCUCUGGAAUGUUCAAGAAGAAAACCUCCAGCCAACUGGUUUUUCAGCUUGCCAGCCCUAAGGGCCCAGGACUCUGGCAAACCCUUCCUGCAAGAGAAGAGGAGAGACUGCCAGAGGAACUGGACCCUGUUCCCUGAUGAGCCGCCCGCCCGGCCGGUCAGGCGACGUGCCCAUUCAUUCUGAUGCACACCCUGACCCGUCAAACCUCACCACCUGGCUCACCACUCCUCUCCGCGUUGUGCCUCAACCUUCGUGGUGCAAACACAAGAACCUGUCUUCCAAUCAUCUCCGGGGUCCCCGGCGGGCACGGGGAAGGCCAGUUCUACAACACUUCCCGGUAGUCUCUGGCAGGUGCUUUGAGGACAUGGGUACAAGAGAUUCUCUUCAACCGGAGGAAUCGAGGGGGAGGGGGCGGCUACAGUGGAUCUUGAAGGAUGUAUAGGAAGUCUUCUACACAACCUAAUGUCUGUGAGGCGGACACAGCACCCAGCUGGCAGGGGAGAAGCCACUGGGUGCCCGCCUGGGAGGGGAAUGGAGAUUAGGGACCAUCAGCCACGACCAGGUUCCAACUCCCAGCUUGGGGGUUGUGAUGGAACCACUCCCCCCGCAAGCUGGCUGCUACAGAAUUCCCCCACCCCCACAAACUGGGUUCACCUGCCCGAUGCAGGGCCAGACAACCAGACUCGGGGGCGAUGGGGGAAAAGCAGGUGUGUAUUGCAAAGCGCAGAGCAAGGAGUCCGGUCGCCAAGGCUCAAGUCCCCAGCUCCCCGAGGGGUCAGGACAGUGGAUGUUUGUGUUCCGCGUGGUUGGUGAGCAGUGUGUGGUCAGUACAGAGCACAUGGCUGUCCUUUGAUGGGCCAGGCACCAGGCCAGCGUGUGCUCUGUCUGCCUCCAAGUGGAGACCGGGCAUUCGUUUCUUCGAGCGGGGACUGUGGGUUCCAGCGAAAAUUCUCAGAAUAGAGACCUGCACUGAGAUGUUAAUUGUGUUAACUCCGGGUCUGUAUCAUUUAGGGUCUCUUGUCUUUGUGUCAGUCCCUUAACAGCGUGCUGAUUAUUUUUUUAACAAAUUGUAUUUAUUUGAGAGGCAGAGUGGAAAGAGAGAGAUCAUCCAUCCGCUGGUUCGCUCCCCAAAUGGCUCCUGUGGCCAGGAGCUAGGAGCCAGGACUCCAUCCAGGUCUCCCACGUGGAUGCAGGAGCCUAAACACUUGGGCCAUCUUCCGCCACCUGCAGUGAGCAGCCAGGACUCAACCGGCACUCUGCUAGGGGAUCGGGGUGUUCCAAGCGGAGGCUUAGCCGCUGCGCCACCACCUCAGCCCGCAAGCCGGGGCAGAGAUACUGGGUCUUGAUACGAGAGAGAGCACACACGCUCCCGUCCACGGCUGGGAGCCAAGACCCCAACCACUUUAGCCAUCACUGGGUGAAGCACUGGCAGCCAGGGGAACCCAGGCUCUGAGGUGUGGGGCGCUGCCGUCAGCCGCCAUCGCUU
Non-coding RNA from Oryctolagus cuniculus (rabbit), 1918 nucleotides. NCBI's taxonomy places the organism in Eukaryota, Metazoa, Chordata, Mammalia, Lagomorpha, Leporidae. The record is from RefSeq and is a predicted model, not a curated record.